RNAcentral lists this ribosomal RNA (624 nucleotides) under Triticum aestivum (bread wheat). RNAcentral's name for it is "partial small subunit ribosomal RNA". The record is from RNAcentral. Lineage: Eukaryota; Viridiplantae; Streptophyta; Magnoliopsida; Poales; Poaceae.
GCCUCCUAUCUAGGCCUUGCUUCUUUGGAACGCACCAUCGCCCGCCAACACGCUCGCCUCGCGACACUCAAAGACGGAGAUGCCAACACGUCAUUCUACCACCGGCAAUGCUCUUAUCGACGGCAAAAGAACAUGGUGCACAGUCUCGAGGCUGGCGCGGAGAUCAUCACGGACCCGGAGGGCAUGGCCGCGGCUGCAUACGCGCACUUCGACGCUCUGCUUGGCACCGCCGCGCCCCGGGAGUGCACCCUGGACCUCUCCGCUCUCAUCACGCAUGCCAACCUCGACGACCUUGAUGCACCCUUUGACGCCGAGGAGAUAUGGCAGGCCGUCAAGCAAUUGCCCGCGCGCAAAGCGCCCGGUCCCGACGGCUUCACCGCUGACUUCCUGCGCGCCUGUUGGCCCAUCGUCAAGCAGGACCUCGUUGACGUGUUCCAGCAGCUAUACGCGCUCCGGGGACGAGGUUUUAGCUGCCUUAACCAGGCGCUCCUCGCGCUGCUGCCCAAGCGCGCGGAUGCCCGCUGCCUUGGAGAUUACAGGCCCAUAAGCCUUAUCCACCACGUCGCCAAAAUAUUCGCGAAGGUCCUCUCGCUGCGACUCGCGCCUAAGCUUAAUGCACUCGUC